Molecule: ribosomal RNA, 433 nt
Filed under: uncultured bacterium
Lineage: Bacteria
Description: partial 16S ribosomal RNA
Rfam family: Bacterial small subunit ribosomal RNA
Source: RNAcentral
AACGAACGCUGGCGGCAUGCCUAACACAUGCAAGUCGAACGAAGGCUUCGGCCUUAGUCGCGCACGGGUGCGUAACGCGUGGGAAUCUGACCUUUGCUUCGGAAUAACAGUUAGAAAUGACUGCUAAUACCGGAUGAUGUCGCAAGACCAAAGAUUUAUCGGCAAAGUAUGAGCCCGCGUAGGAUUAGCUAGUGGGUUGGGUAAUGGCCUACCAAGGCGACGAUCCUUAGCUGGUCUGAGAGGAUGAUCAGCCACACUGGGACUGAGACACGGCCCAGACUCCUACGGGAGGCAGCAGUGGGGAAUAUUGCACAGUGGGCGAAAGCCUGAUGCAGCAAUGCCGCGUGAGUGAUGAAGGCCUUAGGGUUGUAAAGCUCUUUUACCCGGGAUGAUAAUGACAGUACCGGGAGAAUAAGCUCCGGCUAACUCCGUG